AAUUUUGGACAAUGGGGGCAACCCUGAUCCAGCCAUUCCGCGUGAGUGAAGAAGGCCUUCGGGUUGUAAAGCUCUUUCGCAAGGGAAGAAAACUUAUCCAAUAACACUGGAUGAGGCUGACGGUACCUUGAUAAGAAGCACCGGCUAACUACGUGCCAGCAGCCGCGGUAAUACGUAGGGUGCGAGCGUUAAUCGGAAUUACUGGGCGUAAAGCGUGCGCAGGCGGUUUUGUAAGUCAGAUGUGAAAUCCCCGGGCUCAACCUGGGAACUGCGUUUGAAACUACAAGGCUAGAGUAUGGGAGAGGGAGGUAGAAUUCCACGUGUAGCAGUGAAAUGCGUAGAGAUGUGGAGGAAUACCAAUGGCGAAGGCAGCCUCCUGGCCUAAUACUGACGCUCAUGCACGAAAGCGUGGGGAGCAAACAGG
This 424-nucleotide ribosomal RNA is filed under the name uncultured bacterium. Its description in RNAcentral is "bacterial SSU rRNA". It matches the Rfam family "Bacterial small subunit ribosomal RNA", at positions 360 to 776 of the family's 1533-position model. The record is from RNAcentral.